This 275-nucleotide ribosomal RNA is filed under the name Plumbago auriculata (Cape leadwort). Its description in RNAcentral is "partial 26S ribosomal RNA". The record is from RNAcentral. Lineage: Eukaryota; Viridiplantae; Streptophyta; Magnoliopsida; Caryophyllales; Plumbaginaceae.
UGCGACCCCAGGUCAGGCGGGGCUACCCGCUGAGUUUAAGCAUAUCAAUACGCGGAAGAAUGGCCAAACUCCCAACGAAAAGAACCGAGCACCUGUUUUUUUCCACGAUCAUCUUGCCGGGCCCGAGGGCCCGUGCGCUCGAUAUCCAGCUUGUAAAAAAAAACCAGCGAGUUGCGCCAAGAAACAUCAUGUUUAACUGCGCACCUCUUCUGGAACGAGGAGCACACACGUGCAUGCAAACAUAUAUACGAUUCGCACGAAUUUCGCCGCUGCAU